Molecule: ribosomal RNA, 640 nt
Filed under: Delphinium balansae
Lineage: Eukaryota; Viridiplantae; Streptophyta; Magnoliopsida; Ranunculales; Ranunculaceae
Description: eukaryotic LSU rRNA
Rfam family: 5.8S ribosomal RNA (bases 248-403)
Source: RNAcentral
CUGCCCAGUAGANCGACCCGCGAACGAGUGAAAACAUGCACNUGNGNUUCGAGGAGGGGCGUGCCCCCGAUCGUCCGUNNNUCGGACCACGGUCCCUCGCCGCGGCCGCGCCGAAUGGACGACCGCAGGGCGGGAUGGUGUCUNCAAACUAAACCAAAAACNGGCGCUACAAGCGCCAAUGAAAUCAUAGCGGAAACGAGGGGUCGCACCAUUCGCGGUCGCGACCUUCGGGAUUCGAUACUCGAACGACUCUCAGCAACGAAUAUCUCGGCUCUUACAUCGAUGAAGAACGUAGCAAAAUACGAUACUUGGUGUGAAUUACAGAAUCCCUUGAACCAUCGAGUCUUUGGACGCAAGUUGCGCCGGAGGCCACUAAGUCGAGGGCACGUCUGCCUGGGUGUCACACACAGCGUCGCACCCCGCCAACGUAAUUGGCCCCCCGGUCCCUUUAGGCCACGGUCGGCACAAAUGUUGGUCCCUGACGGCGAUCGUCGUGGUCAGCGGUGGUUGUACUAUUCACCCCUGAAGACAUCAAGACGCGCUGCUCCGCUGCACGACGGGACAAAUGACCCCACGUAACCGCCUCACUCGACAUCCACCUUAUGACCCCAGGUCAGACGGGACUACCCACUUAGUUUAA